RNAcentral lists this non-coding RNA (910 nucleotides) under Drosophila simulans. RNAcentral describes it as "Eukaryotic large subunit ribosomal RNA". It matches the Rfam family "Eukaryotic large subunit ribosomal RNA", at positions 1 to 768 of the family's 3401-position model. Lineage: Eukaryota; Metazoa; Arthropoda; Insecta; Diptera; Drosophilidae. The record is from Rfam by way of RNAcentral.
CAACCUCAACUCAUAUGGGACUACCCCCUGAAUUUAAGCAUAUUAAUUAGGGGAGGAAAAGAAACUAACAAGGAUUUUCUUAGUAGCGGCGAGCGAAAAGAAAACAGUUCAGCACUAAGUCACUUUGUCUAUAUGGCAAAUGUGAGAUGCAGUGUAUGGAGCGUCAAUAUUCUAGUAUGAGAAAUUAAUGAUUUAAGUCCUUCUUAAAUGAGGCCAUUUACCCAUAGAGGGUGCCAGGCCCGUAUAACGUUAAUGAUUACUAGAUGAUGUUUCCAAAGAGUCGUGUUGCUUGAUAGUGCAGCACUAAGUGGGUGGUAAACUCCAUCUAAAACUAAAUAUAACCAUGAGACCGAUAGUAAACAAGUACCGUGAGGGAAAGUUGAAAAGAACUCUGAAUAGAGAGUUAAACAGUACGUGAAACUGCUUAGAGGUUAAGCCCGAUGAACCUGAAUAUCCGUUAUGGAAAAUUCAUCAUUAAAAUUGUAAUAUUUAAAUAAUAUUAUUAAGAAUAAUGUGCAUUUUUUCCAUAUAAGGACAUUGUAAUCUAUUAGCAUAUCCCAAAUUUAUCAUAAAAUAUAACUUAUAGUUUAUUCCAAUUAAAUUGCUUGCAUUUUAACACAGAAUAAAUGUUAUUAAUUUGAUAAAGUGCUGAUAGAUUUAUAUUAUUACAGAGCGUUAAUUUUUCGGAAUUAUAUAAUGGCAUAAUUAUCAUUGAUUUUUGUGUUUAUUAUAUGCUCUUGUAUGAUUAACAAUGCGAAAGAUUCAGGAUACCUUCGGGACCCGUCUUGAAACACGGACCAAGGAGUCUAACAUAUGUGCAAGUUAUUGGGAUGUAAACCUAAUAGCGUAAUUAACUUGACUAAUAAUGGGAUUAGUUUUUUAGCUAUUUAUAGAAUCCACCACAGUGGCG